RNAcentral lists this long non-coding RNA (730 nucleotides) under Lathyrus oleraceus (garden pea). RNAcentral describes it as "Pisum sativum (pea) long non-coding RNA (PSAT_LNC010849)". The record is from RNAcentral. Lineage: Eukaryota; Viridiplantae; Streptophyta; Magnoliopsida; Fabales; Fabaceae.
GAAACCGCUUGGACCCUACUUCUCUAUGGCAAUGUUCCAUUCAGGUUCUGGGGGAUAUUAUGCUAAUAUGGCAUGUUACCUUAUAAACCUCAUGCCCUCGUCUGUCCUUAACAACAAUACCCCUCACUUGAUUUUAUGGUAAUCUGUGAUCGGUUCCAUGAGAUAUAGAAAGUGAUGCAGGUCACCUUUGAUUUGGAAGCAUAAUCCGGUCUACAUCCCAGCUCUUUCUCGUAUUGAGUUUCAUGCACUUCAUUAGAUUAAAUCACAUACGUUUGUGAUUCUAGUAGAUGGAAAGUGUUGUCAAUUUUUCAAAUUGUUUAGGUCGAAUGCCAGUAAUUUCCAAUGCAAAUUGUUUUUAAUUCAAGUCAGAUCCCAGUAAUUUCCAAUGUCCUUAGGUCGAAUUCUUGUUGGUUUAGUUACUAGCCAUGAUGGUAACGUCAGAUUCUAUGCAUUUGAAGAUGUUGUUUUUUCUAUUAACAAAUGUUAAUAUGUUAGUUUUAUUAUGGUGUGGGUAGGAAUAGAACCAUCAACCUCAACUCUCUCACUCCAUCCUCAAACCACCAAGCCAAGUUUAUAUCUCUCUAUAUAAUGAUAUGGUUUAGUUUUGUCUUAGCAUUUAGGAGCUUUAAUCUACAUUCUAAUAUACAUAAUUUAUGGAGAUAUAUUAUUAUAUUUCUAUAUUGGCGGAGCUGUAGAGGUAGUAACUGCACAAACUCUCGGUACUUAAANN